AUCUUUUGCCCAUGUGGUUGCAGUCAAUCCAAUUUAAUUCAGAUCAGCAAAAGUUACUGAGCACAUGUGCUAGGCACUGUAGGGGAUAUAGAAACAAAUGGCACUAUCAGACAUACUCAAGUAACUAUAGUGGACAAAGGAGACGAGUAAAAGGGAAUUAAAGAGGCCUAAACAAAGGGCUGAGCAAGAACGGGAUGGAAGAGAAGAACUGUGCCUGCAGCAAGAGCCCACGCUUCCUUCCAGGAUCUGCUCCUCGGCCCCUUUACUCUAUUUCCUGUUCAUCUGCCCCUUCGUCCUGCUCCUGCUUCUGCUCAUCUCCCUCCUUUGCUUAUACUGGAAGGCCAGGAAGUUGUCCACACUGCGUUCCAACACACGGAAAGAAAAGGCUCUCUGGGUGGACUUGAAAGAGGCUGGAUGUGUGACCGCAAAUAGGAGGGAAGACGAGGAGGAAGAUGAAGGCAACUGAAUCCCAAGAGGCACCUGCAGCCAGGAAGGAAAGCUUCCUGCCUUGCUGCCUGUUUCUUCCCAAGCCCCGUGUGGAAUGUGGUGACCUAGUCAGCUGGAACCAGCUUCUGACAGACCCCGGCAACUUCUAGAUGAACCCGAGUGAACUUUCCUCAUUACCAUCCUGAAGUCACUACCCCAGGGGGAGCUAUAGCUUCAUGACCGUAACAUGUGACCUGUGUGC
Molecule: small RNA, 688 nt
Filed under: Pan troglodytes (chimpanzee)
Lineage: Eukaryota; Metazoa; Chordata; Mammalia; Primates; Hominidae
Description: processed transcript
Source: RNAcentral